UACAGAGGGGGCAAGCGUUGUUCGGAAUUACUGGGCGUAAAGGGCGCGUAGGCGGCCUGCUAAGUCGAACGUGAAAUCCCUGGGCUCAACCCAGGAACUGCGUCCGAUACUGGUUGGCUUGAAUCCGGGAGAGGGACGUGGAAUUCCAGGUGUAGCGGUGAAAUGCGUAGAUAUCAUUUGGAACGCCAAUGGUGAAAACAGGUAGCUGGGAGUGUGCUGACGCUGAGACACGAAAGCCAGGGGAGCAAACGGG
This 253-nucleotide ribosomal RNA is filed under the name uncultured bacterium. RNAcentral's name for it is "partial 16S ribosomal RNA". It matches the Rfam family "Bacterial small subunit ribosomal RNA", at positions 524 to 776 of the family's 1533-position model. The record is from RNAcentral.